UAUGUGAUCGUCUCUCGCAUAUCAAUAAGCGGAGGAAAAGAAACUAACAAGGAUUCCCCUAGUAACGGCGAGUGAAGCGGGAAGAGCUCAAAUUUGAAAUCUUAAAGGGUUUCCCUUUACGAAUUGUAGUUUAAAGAAGUGUUUUCUGUUGAGGUUUUGGUAAAAGUUCUUUGGAAUAGGACAUCAUAGAGGGUGAGAAUCCCGUAUUUGACCUUUACUUUCAACUUUGUGAUACACUUUCAAAGAGUCGGAUUGUUUGGGAAUGCAGUCCAAAAUGGGUGGUAAAUUUCAUCUAAAGCUAAAUAUUGGCGAGAGACCGAUAGCGAACAAGUACCGUGAGGGAAAGAUGAAAAGAACUUUGAAAAGAGAGUUAAACAGUACGUGAAAUUGUCAAAAGGGAAGCGUUUGACACCAGUGUUGUUUUUCUGAAAAUCAAUUAAAGAACUGUUUAUGCUAAGCUGUUUAGACUUUAUCAGCUAACUGUUUAGUUUUGAGCUUUUCUUUAAUGCACUUUUCAGUUAACAAGUCAACAUCAAUUUCUUUUGCUGUAAAAAAGCUUGAGGAAGGUGGCUUGAGAUUCGUCUUAAGUGGUUAUAGCCUCUUGCCUAUGCAGUCGGAGAGAUUGAGGUCUGCAGCGUAGAUCCUUCGGGGCUAAAUGCAUUUGUGCUAAGUUAUACGCAUUUUAUAGACAACUUGUUGACUAUGAUUUGUCUUGUAGCUUACUCGCUUAUGUUAUUUUACCUACGCUUAGGAUGUUGAAGACUCUACAGAGAUA
Molecule: ribosomal RNA, 775 nt
Filed under: uncultured Neocallimastigales
Lineage: Eukaryota; Fungi; Neocallimastigomycota; Neocallimastigomycetes; Neocallimastigales
Description: partial large subunit ribosomal RNA
Rfam family: Eukaryotic large subunit ribosomal RNA
Source: RNAcentral